Molecule: transfer RNA, 77 nt
Filed under: Clostridiales bacterium
Lineage: Bacteria; Bacillati; Bacillota; Clostridia; Eubacteriales
Also listed under: 4 other names
Description: tRNA-Asp
Rfam family: tRNA
About the family: Transfer RNA (tRNA) molecules are approximately 80 nucleotides in length. Their secondary structure includes four short double-helical elements and three loops (D, anti-codon, and T loops). Further hydrogen bonds mediate the characteristic L-shaped molecular structure. tRNAs have two regions of fundamental functional importance: the anti-codon, which is responsible for specific mRNA codon recognition, and the 3' end, to which the tRNAs corresponding amino acid is attached (by aminoacyl-tRNA synthetases). tRNAs cope with the degeneracy of the genetic code in two manners: having more than one tRNA (with a specific anti-codon) for a particular amino acid; and 'wobble' base-pairing, i.e. permitting non-standard base-pairing at the 3rd anti-codon position.
Source: RNAcentral
GGCUCGGUAGUUCAGAUGGUUAGAACGCUAGCCUGUCACGCUAGAGGUCGUCGGUUCGAUCCCGAUCCGAGUCGCCA